GAAAUGCGAUAAGUAAUGUGAAUUGCAGAAUUCAGUGAAUCAUCGAAUCUUUGAACGCACAUUACGCCCGCCAGUAUUCUGGCGGGCAUGCCUGUUCGAGCGUCAUUACAACCCUCAGGCCCCCGGGCCUGGCGUUGGGGAUCGGCGGAAGCCCCCUGCGGGCACAACGCCGUCCCCCAAAUACAGUGGCGGUCCCGCCGCAGCUUCCAUUGCGUAGUAGCUAACACCUCGCAACUGGAGAGCGGCGCGGCCACGCCGUAAAACACCCAACUUCUGAAUGUUGACCUCGAAUCAGGUAGGAAUACCCGCUGAACUUAAGC
This 320-nucleotide unclassified non-coding RNA is filed under the name plant metagenome. Its description in RNAcentral is "partial contains 5.8S ribosomal RNA, internal transcribed spacer 2, and large subunit ribosomal RNA". The stretch from base 1 to 105 matches the Rfam family "5.8S ribosomal RNA", at positions 50 to 154 of the family's 154-position model. The record is from RNAcentral.